AGACGGGGUGCCCGGUGCGCAGGCAACGGUUACUUCGACUGUUCAUCGAGAGGUCGUGGGUUCGAGUCCCACCGUCCCGUCUCCCA
This 86-nucleotide transfer RNA is filed under the name Dactylosporangium sp. RNAcentral describes it as "tRNA-Ser". The record is from RNAcentral. Lineage: Bacteria; Bacillati; Actinomycetota; Actinomycetes; Micromonosporales; Micromonosporaceae.